ACCCGCUGAACUUAAGCAUAUCAAUAAGCGGAGGAAAAGAAACCAACAGGGAUUGCCCUAGUAACGGCGAGUGAAGCGGCAACAGCUCAAAUUUGAAAUCUGGCUCUUUUAGGGUCCGAGUUGUAAUUUGCAGAGGGCGCUUUGGCAUUGGCAGCGGUCCAAGUUCUUUGGAACAGGACGUCACAGAGGGUGAGAAUCCCGUACGUGGUCGCUAGCCCUCACCGUGUAAAGCCCCUUCGACGAGUCGAGUUGUUUGGGAAUGCAGCUCUAAAUGGGAGGUAAAUUUCUUCUAAAGCUAAAUACUGGCCAGAGACCGAUAGCGCACAAGUAGAGUGAUCGAAAGAUGAAAAGCACUUUGGAAAGAGAGUCAAAUAGCACGUGAAAUUGUUGAAAGGGAAGCGCUUGCAGCCAGACUUGCCUGUAGUUGCUUAUCCGGACUUUUGUCCGGUGCACUCUUCUGCGGGCAGGCCAGCAUCAGUUUAGGCGGUUGGAUAAAGGUCUCUGUCAUGUACCUCUCUUCGGGGAGGCCUUAUAGGGGAGACGACAUGCAACCAGCCUGGACUGAGGUCCGCGCAUCUGCUAGGAUGCUGGCGUAAUGGCUGU
RNAcentral lists this ribosomal RNA (603 nucleotides) under uncultured fungus. Its description in RNAcentral is "eukaryotic LSU rRNA". It matches the Rfam family "Eukaryotic large subunit ribosomal RNA", at positions 23 to 641 of the family's 3401-position model. The record is from RNAcentral. Lineage: Eukaryota; Fungi.